Molecule: ribosomal RNA, 433 nt
Filed under: uncultured bacterium
Lineage: Bacteria
Description: partial 16S ribosomal RNA
Rfam family: Bacterial small subunit ribosomal RNA
Source: RNAcentral
AACGAACGCUGGCGGCAUGCCUAACACAUGCAAGUCGAACGAGACCUUCGGGUCUAGUGGCGCACGGGUGCGUAACGCGUGGGAAUCUGCCCUUGGGUUCGGAAUAACAGUUGGAAACGACUGCUAAUACCGGAUGAUGACGUAAGUCCAAAGAUUUAUCGCCCAAGGAUGAGCCCGCGUAGGAUUAGCUAGUUUGUGAGGUAAAGGCUCACCAAGGCGACGAUCCUUAGCUGGUAUGAGAGGAUGAUCAGCCACACUGGGACUGAGACACGGCCCAGACUAAGACGGGAGGCAGCAGAGGGGAAUAUUGGAAAAGGGGGGAAAGGAUGAAAAAGCAAUGCCGCGAGAGUGAUGAAGGCAUUAGGGUUGUAAAGCUCUUUUAACCGGGAUGAUAAUGACAGUACCGGGAGAAUAAGCACCGGCUAACUACGUG